Molecule: ribosomal RNA, 294 nt
Filed under: uncultured bacterium
Lineage: Bacteria
Description: partial 16S ribosomal RNA
Rfam family: Bacterial small subunit ribosomal RNA
Source: RNAcentral
GAUGAACGCUAGCGGCAGGCUUAAUACAUGCAAGUCGAGGGGCAGCAGGGGUAGCAAUACUCGCUGGCGACCGGCAAACGGGUGCGGAACACGUACGCAACCUUCCCAAAACUGGUGAAUAGCCCUCCGAAAGGAGGAUUAAUACACCGUAAGAUAAUGAAGUGGCAUCACUUUAUUAUUAUAGCUCCGGCGGUUUUGGAUGGGCGUGCGCCUGAUUAGGUAGUUGGCGGGGUAACGGCCCGACCAAGACCUGCGAUCAGUAACUGGUGUGAGAGCACGACCAGUCACACGGGC